UGAGGAAUCUUCCGCAAUGGGCGCAAGCCUGACGGAGCGACGCCGCGUGAAGGAUGAAGGCCCUUACGGGUCGUAAACUUCUGUUCUGAGGGACGAAAUUUUUUGACGGUACCUCAGGAGAAAGUAUCGGCAAACCCUGUGCCAGCAGCCGCGGUAAGACAGGGGAUACAAGCGUUACUCGGAAUUACUGGGCGUAAAGCGUCUGUAGGUGCUUUGGUAAGUCUGUGGUAAAAGCUCGGGGCUCAACCCCGAGAGCGUCAUGGAAACUACCGAAGUUGAGCAGUAGAGAGGCAUCUGGAAUGCCGCAUGUAGGAGUAAAAUCCGUAGAUAUGCGGUAGAACGCCAAAAGCGUAGGCAGGAUGCUAGCUACUUGCUGACACUGAGAGACGAAAGCGUGGGGAGCGAAGCGGAUUAGAUACCCAAGUAGUCCCUGAGCGGGCUGGCAAGGCGCAU
This 453-nucleotide ribosomal RNA is filed under the name uncultured bacterium. RNAcentral's name for it is "bacterial SSU rRNA". It matches the Rfam family "Bacterial small subunit ribosomal RNA", at positions 355 to 825 of the family's 1533-position model. The record is from RNAcentral.